CACGUAGGGGGCGAGCGUUGUCCGGAUUUAUUGGGCGUAAAGAGCUCGUAGGCGGUUUGUCACGUCUGCUGUGAAAACUCGGGGCUUAACUCCGGGCCUGCAGUGGGUACGGGCAGACUAGAGUGCGGUAGGGGAGACUGGAAUUCCUGGUGUAGCGGUGAAAUGCGCAGAUAUCAGGAGGAACACCGGUGGCGAAGGCGGGUCUCUGGGCCGUAACUGACGCUGAGGAGCGAAAGCGUGGGGAGCAAACAGG
RNAcentral lists this ribosomal RNA (253 nucleotides) under uncultured bacterium. Its description in RNAcentral is "partial 16S ribosomal RNA". It matches the Rfam family "Bacterial small subunit ribosomal RNA", at positions 524 to 776 of the family's 1533-position model. The record is from RNAcentral.